CACUGGCUGCUGGACGGCGCGUUGCGCGUGCUCGCCGCACGCCGAGAGCGGUUCGAGCCCGUCGAUGGCGG
Molecule: transfer RNA, 71 nt
Filed under: Streptomyces griseorubens
Lineage: Bacteria; Bacillati; Actinomycetota; Actinomycetes; Kitasatosporales; Streptomycetaceae
Also listed under: 1 other name
Description: tRNA-Ala
Source: RNAcentral